UGAGUAACACGUGAGCAACCUGCCCCUGACUCUGGGAUAAGCGCUGGAAACGGCGUCUAAUACUGGAUAUGUGACGUGAUCGCAUGGUCUGCGUCUGGAAAGAAUUUCGGUUGGGGAUGGGCUCGCGGCCUAUCAGCUUGUUGGUGAGGUAAUGGCUCACCAAGGCGUCGACGGGUAGCCGGCCUGAGAGGGUGACCGGCCACACUGGGACUGAGACACGGCCCAGACUCCUACGGGAGGCAGCAGUGGGGAAUAUUGCACAAUGGGCGCAAGCCUGAUGCAGCAACGCCGCGUGAGGGACGACGGCCUUCGGGUUGUAAACCUCUUUUAGCAGGGAAGAAGCGAAAGUGACGGUACCUGCAGAAAAAGCGCCGGCUAACUACGUGCCAGCAGCCGCGGUAAUACGUAGGGCGCAAGCGUUAUCCGGAAUUAUUGGGCGUAAAGAGCUCGUAGGCGGUUUGUCGCGUCUGCUGUGAAAUCCGGAGGCUCAACCUCCGGCCUGCAGUGGGUACGGGCAGACUAGAGUGCGGUAGGGGAGAUUGGAAUUCCUGGUGUAGCGGUGGAAUGCGCAGAUAUCAGGAGGAACACCGAUGGCGAAGGCAGAUCUCUGGGCCGUAACUGACGCUGAGGAGCGAAAGGGUGGGGAGCAAACAGGCUUAGAUACCCUGGUAGUCCACCCCGUAAACGUUGGGAACUAGUUGUGGGGUCCAUUCCACGGAUUCCGUGACGCAGCUAACGCAUUAAGUUCCCCGCCUGGGGAGUACGGCCGCAAGGCUAAAACUCAAAGGAAUUGACGGGGACCCGCACAAGCGGCGGAGCAUGCGGAUUAAUUCGAUGCAACGCGAAGAACCUUACCAAUGCUUGACAUAUACGAGAACGGGCCAGAAAUGGUCAACUCUUUGGACACUCGUAAACAGGUGGUGCAUGGUUGUCGUCAGCUCGUGUCGUGAGAUGUUGGGGU
Molecule: ribosomal RNA, 961 nt
Filed under: Erwinia sp. RAS38
Lineage: Bacteria; Pseudomonadati; Pseudomonadota; Gammaproteobacteria; Enterobacterales; Erwiniaceae
Description: bacterial SSU rRNA
Rfam family: Bacterial small subunit ribosomal RNA
Source: RNAcentral